Astatotilapia calliptera (eastern happy) is the source of this 543-nucleotide long non-coding RNA. The record is from Ensembl. NCBI's taxonomy places the organism in Eukaryota, Metazoa, Chordata, Actinopteri, Cichliformes, Cichlidae.
CUCACGGACGGUGACAGCGAAACGGAUAACAGUCUUCAGUACCUGCUGGACUUUGAAGCUGUGGAUUCUGGGACUGUUGGAAAAGAGGCAGCGGUGAGAGGGGAGACCUCGGCUCAUCCAGCUGGAGAGCCUGACCAGGACGAGUCGAACAUUAACUCAGCUCUUCCAGGGCACCCUGCAGACUCGGCUGUUGGCAACAACGAGGGAUGACGUGAACGCCAAACAGGAGUCCAUCACAGGUCAACUGCAGCUCCUUGUCUCAGAGUGGGAGGGGUUUGAAGCACAAAGGGAGGAACUUGUCGUUUGGUUGGCUGAUAUGGAUGUCUGCCUGAGUGAGGUUGACCAGCUGACAGGAAACACCAGUGAAAAACUGAAACAACUGCAGGUGUGGGCUUGUUUUGAUAUGACAUAUAUUUGAUAUGAUACAUACGUCAGAGACAUUAUCCUAAACUGGACUAACAAAGGACCAUGAGUACAACAUGAAACGUACAUUACAUAGCGUAAGGCUGAAGUUCAUUGAUCAUUUUAAUCAUAAACUUGUUG